RNAcentral lists this long non-coding RNA (536 nucleotides) under Homo sapiens (human). RNAcentral describes it as "non-protein coding lnc-C11orf16-7:1". Lineage: Eukaryota; Metazoa; Chordata; Mammalia; Primates; Hominidae. The record is from RNAcentral.
GAUGCUUAGGAAGGUCCACUUUGAGGGACACGCUCAGUGGGGGUCACUUUAAGGAACACAAAUAAAUCCUCCUUUAAGUCUCCUCUGUGGUUCAUGAAAAAGGAGAGAAACUCCAUCCUCACCUAGUCUCAACAGAUGGCUUGAUGAGCAAUUAUCAGGUACCAGCCCCUGGAAGCCACCAAUCUGUCUUCUGUCUCUAUUAUUUUGACUACUCCUUUCACAGAAAACCACUGGAGGAGAUACUCACAAAAAUGAAGGGGAAGAACAGGAAACAGGAAGACAUGAGAUGAAGGAAACAGGAGAUUCAACAUGGAUUUCACACCCUUUGGAGAGUUUCUUUCUUGGAUAAUUCAGGGUCUUGCUGUGUUGCUCGGGCUGCUCUUGAACUCCUGGGCUCAAACAGUCCUCUUGCCUCAGCCUCCCAACGUGCUGGGAUUACGGGAGCAAGCCACCCCACUGUGUGCAGCCCAGAAGUUGAGCCUGAGAGAUGAGAGACUGCUUAGGCGCCACCACUAGUACCAUGAGUCCCUGCACUG